UGGGGAAUAUUGGACAAUGGGCGAAAGCCUGAUCCAGCCAUGCCGCGUGUGUGAAGAAGGUCUUCGGAUUGUAAAGCACUUUAAGUUGGGAGGAAGGGCAGUAAGCGAAUACCUUGCUGUUUUGACGUUACCGACAGAAUAAGCACCGGCUAACUCUGUGCCAGCAGCCGCGGUAAUACAGAGGGUGCAAGCGUUAAUCGGAAUUACUGGGCGUAAAGCGCGCGUAGGUGGUUCGUUAAGUUGAAUGUGAAAGCCCCGGGCUCAACCUGGGAAAUGCAUCCUAAACUGGCGAGCUAGAGUAGGGCAGAGGGUGGUGGAAUUUCCUGUGUAGCGGUGAAAUGCGUAGAUAUAGGAAGGAACACCAGUGGCGAAGGCGACCACCUGGGCUCAUACUGACACUGAGGUGCGAAAGCGUGGGGAGCAAACAGG
Molecule: ribosomal RNA, 429 nt
Filed under: Pseudomonadota bacterium
Lineage: Bacteria; Pseudomonadati; Pseudomonadota
Description: Proteobacteria bacterium partial 16S ribosomal RNA
Rfam family: Bacterial small subunit ribosomal RNA
Source: RNAcentral